RNAcentral lists this ribosomal RNA (292 nucleotides) under uncultured bacterium. RNAcentral's name for it is "partial 16S ribosomal RNA". It matches the Rfam family "Bacterial small subunit ribosomal RNA", at positions 505 to 796 of the family's 1533-position model. The record is from RNAcentral.
GUGUCAGCCGCCGCGGUAAGACGAACCGUGCGAACGUUGUUCGGAUUCACUGGGCUUAAAGGGCGCGUAGGCGGCUUGCCAAGUCUGGGGUGAAAUCUUUCGGCUCAACCGGAAAAGUGCCUGGGAUACUGGCAAGCUCGAGGGAAGUAGGGGCAUGUGGAACUUCUGGUGGAGCGGUGAAAUGCGUUGAUAUCAGAAGGAACGCCGGUGGCGAAAGCGACGUGCUGGACUUCUUCUGACGCUGAGGCGCGAAAGCUAGGGGAGCAAACGGGAUUAGAUACCCCAGUAGUCC